This 1211-nucleotide ribosomal RNA is filed under the name Oecleopsis sinicus. Its description in RNAcentral is "16S ribosomal RNA". Lineage: Eukaryota; Metazoa; Arthropoda; Insecta; Hemiptera; Cixiidae. The record is from RNAcentral.
AAAUAAAUAUUAUAAAUUUAAAAGUCCUUUCGUACUAAUCAAAUAUAAAAUUAAAUAGAUAGAAACCAACCUGGCUCACGCCGGUCUGAACUCAGAUCAUGUAAGAUUUUAAAGGUCGAACAGACCUAAUUAAUUAUUUUCUGCUCCAAUUAUUUAUCUUAAUCCAACAUCGAGGUCGCAAACAUAUUUAUCAAUAAGAACUCUCCAAAUAUAUUACGCUGUUAUCCCUAAGGUAUCUUAAUUCUUACAAUCACAAUAAAUGGAUCACCUAACCAUAUAAAAAUGUAAAAAAAAAAAAAGUUCAAUAUUUUAAUAAUCACCCCAAUUAAAAAAUUAAUAAUUUAAUUUAAAAAUACAACAAAAACAAAAUAAAAAAAUAAAUUUUAAAGAUCUAUAGGGUCUUAUCGUCCCAAUUAAAAAUUUAAGCUUUUUAACUAAAAAAUUAAACUAAAAAAAAAAAUUAAUAAAGAAUUUUUUACGUCCAACCAUUCAUACAAGACCCCAAUUAAAAGACUAAUGAUUAUGCUACCUUAGCACAGUUAAUAUACUGCGGCCAUUUAAUUAAAUUCAUAGAGCAGGUUAAACCUUUAAUAAAACCUAAAGAACAUGUUUUUGAUAAACAGGCGAAAAAAUAAUUGCCAAAUUCAUAAACAAAAAAUUAAAAUUUUACUAAUUCAACCAUUAAUAAAAAAAAAAGAACAUUUUAUUUAAAAUUCAAGUAAAUAAAUAAAUAAAAAAAAAAUAAACUUUAUAAUCUUAAACGAAAUUAAAAUGAUGACAGAUUUUAAGCCUACAAGAAAAGUAUAAAAACAAAUUAUAUAUUUAAAUUAAGAUUAUCCCUAAUCUAAUAAAAAAUAAUUAUAAAAAAAAAAAAAAAAUAAUAAAAAAAACCUCCUCAAUUAAAUUGAAAUCCAAGAAAACCAGAUAUAAAAAUGAUUGAAUUUAAUGUCAAAACCAAAAAAAUAUUAAUAACCUUUAUGAAACAAAGUAAAUCAUAUUAAUUUAAAUCUCAAAUAUUCGGGAAAAAGAAAUAACUCAAAAAAAAUAAAUCAACCCUGAUACAAAAGGUACAAAAUAAAAUUCUACUUAAACAAAAAUAAUUAAAACCCCCUACAGUACAAAAAUAUUAAAAAUAUUAUUAACUAAAAUUAAAAUUAACAAAAAAAAAACUUUUUUCUAAAAAAAAAAAAAAAAAAAUUAAUUAAAUCAAU